Non-coding RNA from Mycena metata, 94 nucleotides. The record is from the annotation of a GenBank genome assembly. Lineage: Eukaryota; Fungi; Basidiomycota; Agaricomycetes; Agaricales; Mycenaceae.
UCGAACGUGGUGUAGCGUACACGGCGGGCUUGUUUGCCUUUGUACCUUCCAAACUUACAGCCCGCAGCUCGGGGUUCGACUCCCCGCGUUCGAA